GCCUCGGUAGCUCAGCCUGGCAGAGCAUCUGACUGUUAAUCAGGUGGUCGCAAGUUCAAAUCUUGCCCGGGUCU
Molecule: transfer RNA, 74 nt
Filed under: Candidatus Woesearchaeota archaeon
Lineage: Archaea; Nanobdellati; Candidatus Woesearchaeota
Description: tRNA-Asn
Rfam family: tRNA
About the family: Transfer RNA (tRNA) molecules are approximately 80 nucleotides in length. Their secondary structure includes four short double-helical elements and three loops (D, anti-codon, and T loops).
Source: RNAcentral